This 767-nucleotide ribosomal RNA is filed under the name uncultured bacterium. Its description in RNAcentral is "bacterial SSU rRNA". It matches the Rfam family "Bacterial small subunit ribosomal RNA", at positions 68 to 829 of the family's 1533-position model. The record is from RNAcentral.
AGCGCGGGGAGCUUGCUCCCUGGCGGCGAGUGGCGCACGGGUGAGUAAUACAUCGGAACGUGUCUUCUAGUGGGGGAUAACUGCCCGAAAGGGCAGCUAAUACCGCAUGAGACCUGAGGGUGAAAGCGGGGGAUCGCAAGACCUCGCGCUGGAAGAGCGGCCGAUGUCCGAUUAGCUAGUUGGUGAGGUAAAGGCUCACCAAGGCGACGAUCGGUAGCUGGUCUGAGAGGACGACCAGCCACACUGGGACUGAGACACGGCCCAGACUCCUACGGGAGGCAGCAGUGGGGAAUUUUGGACAAUGGGGGCAACCCUGAUCCAGCCAUGCCGCGUGCAGGAUGAAGGUCUUCGGAUUGUAAACUGCUUUUGUCAGGGACGAAAAGGGAUGCGAUAACACCGCAUUCCGCUGACGGUACCUGAAGAAUAAGCACCGGCUAACUACGUGCCAGCAGCCGCGGUAAUACGUAGGGUGCAAGCGCUAAUCGGAAUUACUGGGCGUAAAGCGUGCGCAGGCGGUUCUGUAAGAUAGAUGUGAAAUCCCCGGGCUCAACCUGGGAAUUGCAUAUAUGACUGCAGGACUUGAGUUUGUCAGAGGAGGGUGGAAUUCCACGUGUAGCAGUGAAAUGCGUAGAUAUGUGGAAGAACACCGAUGGCGAAGGCAGCCCUCUGGGACAUGACUGACGCUCAUGCACGACAGCGUGAGGAGCAAACAGGAUUAGAUACCCUGGUAGUCCACGCCCUANACGAUGUCUACUAGUUGUUGGGGA